CUGUGGCUGGCCGGGUGCGAUCCGAGGCUGUAGCAGGAGCCCUCGGCUGGGAGCGGGCGCGCUGGUCCCCCCCCGGCUUCCCUUUGUCCUGGAGGAGAAGGAGGCUGCACCGCGGACCCAGGUUUCCAGCGUUGGAUUGUCUUCUAGGGCAAAUUGUCACCAAUGGCAGUAAAACUUGUUUUCCAGCAUUCUGGUGUAUUUCAUGGGAGGGAUCAGCAUUCAUGUCACACUCCUCGUCAGUACCCGGCCUAAGUCACAGCAGCUAAUGAUCCAACCAGAGAACCAAAUUCAGUGAUGAAGCCUGGUCAAGUGCCACCUGAGGCAUGUUGUGCAUACGCUAAGAUGAUGUAUUUCACUGGAAUAGCAAACAUCAGAAACAAUGUUUUCUUAUAUUGAUAUAACCUAAAAAAAUGGCUCAAUUGACUGUUUUUUCCUUCAUACUUUAAGAGCCACUACUGAGACUGAGUUUCUUUGGUGUUAAAUUGAUGGCAAUGGUUGAUUAAUCUUUUACUUAUGUGUCAAUGAAGCAUAUUCUGUAUGAGGUGUUCAAAAUAUUGGUUUUUUUGUAAAUAUAAACACAUUAAUUCGUUGUUGCUUUCAAUAUCUAUGGAAAAACAUAAAUGUCCAUCUGUCACUGCUGAAUUCUGUCAGCUCACAUAUUAAACGUUCUUGGUUUAAUAUCUAGAUUUAAUUCCCGAAGGGAUUUACAAAAUCUACGC
This is a long non-coding RNA of Mauremys reevesii (Reeves's turtle), 719 nucleotides long. RefSeq lists it as uncharacterized. The record is from RefSeq and is a predicted model, not a curated record. The transcript has 3 exons. Lineage: Eukaryota; Metazoa; Chordata; Testudines; Geoemydidae.